CACGACAAAUUGAGCGACGCCAUUCACUCAAUUUCCCGCACCCACUUCCUCAACUCUGUCGGAAACCUAAGGAAGUCUGAUAAGAAGAAACUCUACAACGACGUCGUUGAAGAGAACCGGGCUGGCUUUGUCUUCGUCAAGGAGUUUCGUGUUGAUGAUAAUGAAUCCGCGAUUCAAGAGGCCAAGAGUCUCAACGCUAUCAGGACUGCUCUCGAGAACCUUGAGGAUCAGUUGGAGUUCUUCCAUACUGUACAAAUACAACAGCGG
Molecule: unclassified non-coding RNA, 267 nt
Filed under: Hevea brasiliensis (rubber tree)
Lineage: Eukaryota; Viridiplantae; Streptophyta; Magnoliopsida; Malpighiales; Euphorbiaceae
Source: RNAcentral